RNAcentral lists this ribosomal RNA (253 nucleotides) under uncultured bacterium. Its description in RNAcentral is "partial 16S ribosomal RNA". It matches the Rfam family "Bacterial small subunit ribosomal RNA", at positions 524 to 776 of the family's 1533-position model. The record is from RNAcentral.
UACGUAGGGUGCAAGCGUUGUCCGGAAUUAUUGGGCGUAAAGAGCUCGUAGGCGGUCUGUCGCGUCGGCUGUGAAAACUCUGGGCUCAACUCCGAGCUUGCAGUCGAUACGGGCAGGCUAGAGUUCGGCAGGGGAGAAUGGAAUUCCUGGUGUAGCGGUGAAAUGCGCAGAUAUCAGGAGGAACACCGGUGGCGAAGGCGGUUCUCUGGGCCGGUACUGACGCUGAGGAGCGAAAGCGUGGGGAGCGAACAGG